AGUGUGUGUGUGUGUGUGUGUGAAAGUUUGUGCUUCUCAGUAGUUACUUAACAAGAUGUCUGAGCCACAACGGAAGCGUGAUGGACAGGAACUGCACUCGGGAGCUGCAGUCUACUUCUCUAAUCCUCUAAUGAGUGAUGCGGAGGCAGACUGGGCUGCGGUACAUGAUGCUGCUUUCAAUGGGAGACUCUUGGUUUUGCACGGCCUUACCAGGCAGUGUGAGGUGGUAAAUCUGACUACACUGGACGGUGUGACCCCUCUCCAUGCGGCCUGCCAGCAGGGUCACCGUGCAUGUGCAGGUCUGCUGAUAGAGCAUGGGGCCAGGGUUAGUUUGGGAGAACAUGAAGUGCUGUUUACGAGGACUGUUUAUUCAUGUCCUUUGCCUACAGUAAUGUCAGAGCCUCUCUGAUUCUUUCUGUAGUAAAAACACAUUAUUAAAAACAGUUUUAAAUCUCCAGCCCCCAACUGUUGUGUG
This is a non-coding RNA of Electrophorus electricus (electric eel), 475 nucleotides long. Lineage: Eukaryota; Metazoa; Chordata; Actinopteri; Gymnotiformes; Gymnotidae. The record is from RefSeq and is a predicted model, not a curated record.